RNAcentral lists this ribosomal RNA (253 nucleotides) under uncultured bacterium. RNAcentral's name for it is "partial 16S ribosomal RNA". It matches the Rfam family "Bacterial small subunit ribosomal RNA", at positions 524 to 776 of the family's 1533-position model. The record is from RNAcentral.
GACGAGCCGUGCGAACGUUGUUCGGAAUCGCUGGGCUUAAAGGGCGCGUAGGCGGGUUCGCAAGUCUGUGGUGAAAGCCUCCAGCUUAACUGGAGAAGUGCCAUGGAUACUGCGAGCCUCGAGGAGGGUAGGGGCAUCUGGAACAGUAGGUGGAGCGGUGAAAUGCGUUGAUAUCUACUGGAACUCCGGUGGCGAAGGCGAGGUGCUGGACCCUUUCUGACGCUGAGGCGCGAAAGCCAGGGGAGCGAACGGG